AGUGAACGCUGGCGGUAUGCCUAACACAUGCAAGUCGAACGGCAGCACAGUAAGAGCUUGCUCUUACGGGUGGCGAGUGGCGGACGUGUGAGGAAUACAUCGGAAUCUACUUUUUCGUGGGGGAUAACGUAGGGAAACUUACGCUAAUACCGCAUACGCCCUACGGGUGAAAGCAGGGGAUCUUCUGACCUUGCGCGAUUGAAUUAGCCGAUGUCGGAUUAGCUAGUUGGCGGGGUAAAGGCCCACCAAGGCGACGAUCCGUAGCUGGUCUGAGAGGAUGAUCAGCCACACUGGAACUGAGACACGGUCCAGACUCCUACGGGAGGCAGCAGUGGGGAAUAUUGGACAAUGGGCGCAAGCCUGAUCCAGCCAUACCGCGUGGGAGAAGAAGGCGUUCGGGUUGUAAAGCCCUUUUGUUGGGAAAGAAAAGCAGCAGGUUAAUACCACGCUGUUCUGACGGUACCCAAAGAAUAAGCACCGGCUAACUUCGUG
RNAcentral lists this ribosomal RNA (492 nucleotides) under uncultured bacterium. Its description in RNAcentral is "partial 16S ribosomal RNA". It matches the Rfam family "Bacterial small subunit ribosomal RNA", at positions 29 to 507 of the family's 1533-position model. The record is from RNAcentral.